CCCAUUUACACUACCUCUGAUUUUUCCCCCUAAAACGAAAACCCUAAAUACAUUCAGACCACCCAAACACCACUUGCGAUCUGCACCAUUUGCAGCACUCAUUCUCGAUUUGUGAAUUCUUCUCCUUCCUUUACCAGGUUUAUGGUUACUUUCGGACCUUCCAAACCUUUCACCUUUAUUUUUGGUUCGUGGCUCCCUUCCACACCUUUCUUUCUUCCAACUCUUCCUCUGCAAUCCCUUCCAAACCUUUCAGAUCUCAUUUUUCUUAUUAUCUUCUUUGUCCGCAAGUCGAAAGGCUUGCUCAUAUUUUUUUUUUCAGUUAAAAGGGUUUUUUCAUUUGACGAACACAAAGCAACAAAAUAGUUCUUGGAUGAAAAGGCUGAAAAGUGGGAAGUUGGAUUUGGGUGUUAGGAGGGACAUACUUGAUUGGAUUUGGAAGGAGCAUACUAUUUGUUAUUGGAUGUUAGGAGGGACAUACUUGAUUGGAUUUGGAAGAGUUUUUUCAUUUGACGAACACAAAGCAACAAAAUAGUUCUUGGAUGAAAAGGUAACAUUUUUGUUUAUAUUUUGUUUAUUAAAUUUAUUUUAUAUAUCAAUUUGUUGUUUUUCAAUUUUUUUGAGAUUACUUGCAUUUUCUGAGGAUUGAUUACUUGCAAAGGCUGAAAAGUGGGAAGUUGGAUUUGGGUGUUAGGCGGGACAUACUUGAUUGGAUUUGGAAGGAGCAUACUAUUUGUUAUUGGAUGUUAGGAGGGACAUACUUGAUUGGAUUUGGAAGUCAACAAGCAGGUUAUCUUACAACUUUAGUUCCAUAUUGCAUUCAUUAAGCAGGUUGCAGUAGAGGAGAUCAAGAAGUUUGAGGUUUUCACAAAGAUUGUUGAAAAUUUAAGAGGACAGAAAAUCAUAAAGCUUCCCCAUACUUAAAGAUAUUAUUCUUUCUACUCAAAGAGUAAUUGUUGUUUUAGGACAAUUCAUUUGUUCUGUUUCUGUUUCUGGUGGAAUUUUAUGAUGUUCAGUUAUAAUUUAUUCAUGAA
Molecule: long non-coding RNA, 1031 nt
Organism: Vigna unguiculata (cowpea)
Lineage: Eukaryota; Viridiplantae; Streptophyta; Magnoliopsida; Fabales; Fabaceae
Source: RefSeq, a predicted model, not a curated record